This 58-nucleotide microRNA precursor is filed under the name Heliconius melpomene (postman butterfly). Its description in RNAcentral is "Hme-Mir-2001_pre stem-loop". Lineage: Eukaryota; Metazoa; Arthropoda; Insecta; Lepidoptera; Nymphalidae. The record is from RNAcentral.
UUUGUGACCGUCACUAACGGGCAGUUGUGUGUUUGCUCGUUUUGACGAUCGCAAAAUG